This 352-nucleotide unclassified non-coding RNA is filed under the name soil metagenome. Its description in RNAcentral is "partial contains 5.8S ribosomal RNA, internal transcribed spacer 2, and large subunit ribosomal RNA". The stretch from base 1 to 120 matches the Rfam family "5.8S ribosomal RNA", at positions 35 to 154 of the family's 154-position model. The record is from RNAcentral.
GAUGAAGAACGUAGCGAAACGCGAUACGUAAUGUGAAUUGCAGAAUUCAGUGAAUCAUCGAAUCUUUGAACGCACAUUGCGCCCGCCGGUAUUCCGGCGGGCAUGCCUGUCCGAGCGUCAUUUCACCACUCAAGCCCAGCUUGGCGUUGGGGCACCCGGCCGCCUGGCGGUCGGGGCCCCCAAGAACAUCGGCGGUCUCGCUAGGACCCUGAGCGCAGUAACUCGCGGUAAAACGCGCUUCGUUCGGAGGCUUCCCGGCGGGCUCCAGCCGCUAAACCCCCUAAACUUCUUAGGUUGACCUCGGAUCAGGUAGGAAUACCCGCUGAACUUAAGCAUAUCAAUAAGCGGAGGA